CACUUCAGCGUGCUUUGCUGACGUGGCAACAAAUCGCGCCUACUUAAGCGCGAUUUGUGUCCACGUCAGGAAAGCACGCUGACGUGG
This is a non-coding RNA of Gossypium hirsutum (cotton), 87 nucleotides long. NCBI's taxonomy places the organism in Eukaryota, Viridiplantae, Streptophyta, Magnoliopsida, Malvales, Malvaceae. The record is from Rfam.